RNAcentral lists this ribosomal RNA (274 nucleotides) under uncultured bacterium. Its description in RNAcentral is "partial 16S ribosomal RNA". It matches the Rfam family "Bacterial small subunit ribosomal RNA", at positions 523 to 796 of the family's 1533-position model. The record is from RNAcentral.
AUACGGAGGGGACUAGCGUUGUUCGGAAUUACUGGGCGUAAAGAGUUCGUAGGCGGACUGAUAAGUAAGAGGUGAAAUCCCAGGGCUCAACCCUGGAACUGCCUUUUAAACUGUCAGUCUAGAGACCGGAAGAGGUUAGGGGAAUACCUAGUGUAGAGGUGAAAUUCGUAGAUAUUAGGUGGAACACCAGUGGCGAAGGCGCCUAACUGGUCCGGUACCGACGCUGAGGAACGAAAGCGUGGGGAGCAAACAGGAUUAGAAACCCCAGUAGUCC